RNAcentral lists this ribosomal RNA (453 nucleotides) under uncultured soil bacterium. Its description in RNAcentral is "bacterial SSU rRNA". It matches the Rfam family "Bacterial small subunit ribosomal RNA", at positions 35 to 472 of the family's 1533-position model. The record is from RNAcentral.
GCUGGCGGCGUGGAUAAGACAUGCAAGUCGAACGAGACUUUUCGUUGUAGCAAUACGAUGGAAAGUUUAGUGGCGAACGGGUGCUUAACACGUGGGCAACCUGCCAUGAAGUGGGGGAUAGCUCGCCGAAAGGCGAAUUAAUACCGCAUGUGAUUAGAGAGGACAUCCUUUCGAAAUUAAAGUCGGGGCAACCUGACGCUUCUUGUGGGGCCCGCGGCCUAUCAGCUAGUUGGUGAGGUAACGGCUCACCAAGGCUUUGACGGGUAGCUGGUCUGAGAGGACGACCAGCCACACUGGGACUGAGACACGGCCCAGACACCUACGGGUGGCAGCAGUCGAGAAUUUUUGACAAUGGGGGAAACCCUGAUCGAGCGACGCCGCGUGGAGGAUGAAUGUCUUCGGAUUGUAAACUCCUGUCAUUGGGGAACAAUGCACAGAUAUUAACUGUAUUUG